AUGCAGGAGAGGCUGCCGUUCCGUGCGAUCCGGCCGAGCAAAGGUGAUAGGGCCCUUAGUCAAGCGACAAGGCUCGCCCCAAUCUUUAUGUUGCUGUCGCUGCUGCUGAUUUCUUGUGGAGUCGGCAGCAUUCGCUGCUCCUCGACGACCGUCCAUGGUAACAUCACGGGCAUGAUCUCGCUGCUAGAUUUCAAGCGGGACAUCACUAACGACUCAAGACAAGCCUUAAGAUCUUGGCAAGCCAGUGUCCCUCUUUGCAGUUGGGAGGGCGUCCACUGUAGCUCGGGGCGAGUCACUAAGUUGUACCUCAGCGAACGAGAGUUGUUGGGCCCGAUAUCCCCCUCACUCGGGAAUCUAACAUUUCUUAGGGCACUGGACCUGUCCAAAAAUGGGUUCACCGGCGAGUUACCACCUCUCAACCGUCUCCACAGAUUGGAAUACAUUGACUUGGGAAACAACUCACUACGAGGGACCAUUCCAGAGACUCUCACAAACUGCUCCAAGCUAUGGAGCCUAGACCUGUCUGCCAACUUACUAAUGGGUGAAAUUCCCCUUGGUAUAGGUCGCCUAUCCAAUCUAAGGAAAGUAUGGCUUUCCUCAAAUAAUCUCACCGGAAAAAUCCCGCCAAGCCUAAAAAACAACAGUCAGCUUGAAGGCAUCGUUCUUACUGAUAAUAAGCUCACGGGAACCAUUCCUGAUGAGAUGGGAAUUUUCUCAUCUCUUGUUAAUUUAGACCUUGCUGGAAAUAUGCUAUCUGGUGGAAUUCCAGAAACCUUGUACAAAUACAAUCAGUCCUCUCUCCAAUAUUUAUACUUAUAUUCGAAUAUGCUCGGGAAAACAGUGCCAUCGAACUUUGGUGACACCCUCCCGAAUCUUAAACAUCUCUGUUUGGACAACAACAAUUUUGAAGGUCAUCUCCCUGCUUCACUAGGCAAUAUUUCAGAACUAAGACUGUUAAACUUGUCGUCCAACAAUUUCAUUGGUCAAGUUCCAGGUUCGUUUGGUAAUCUUGCACUGUUAGAAUACCUAAUCCUUCAGCGAAACAAUUUUUGGGGCUUCCUCCCAAUAGAGCUUGGCGGCUUAAAGCAGCUCACCCAUCUGGAUCUGUCUGAUAAUAAUAUGCAAGGUGGUGUGCCAUGA
RNAcentral lists this ribosomal RNA (1140 nucleotides) under Triticum aestivum (bread wheat). Its description in RNAcentral is "partial small subunit ribosomal RNA". Lineage: Eukaryota; Viridiplantae; Streptophyta; Magnoliopsida; Poales; Poaceae. The record is from RNAcentral.